Molecule: long non-coding RNA, 1220 nt
Organism: Bubalus bubalis (water buffalo)
Lineage: Eukaryota; Metazoa; Chordata; Mammalia; Artiodactyla; Bovidae
Exons: 2
Source: RefSeq, a predicted model, not a curated record
UGGGGGGGGGCGGGUGUUGGAGAAAGGCAGAAGCAGCCACUCAUCAGUCGCAUCCACCACGCUAAGCAAGGCGCGGUGACUCCUGAGAGGUCAGGCGGGCCAAUCGAAGGCCGAGUGAGAGAGGCCACGCCUGCAGAAAGAGUCCCGCCGAUAGCCGGGAAUCCAGGCGUAUUCAAGACUCAGGAACUCUUCCGCAUAAACACUGAAACCAGAAACAGGACGCUGACACAAUACCCAUAUUUUGAGGCAAUACAGUGUUCUUCAAAGAGCUCUCUUCGACGGGGGAAAAAAAAGCAGAGGCAGAGUCAAAGCUUAAAUGAGAACCUUACGUGAUGCGGAGAAAAAAGAAAAUCUGCUGGAGCUGAGGAUGUGUAUCCUCUUGGUGCAUGUUUGGAGUUUCACUGUCCCUGCCUCCUUCUUUUGUUAUUUUUAGGCCCCGUGGGCAGAUAAUUUUUCCCAUGAAGCAUUAGAUAGCACUACUUAAGAAAAUGUUUGAGAUCUGCGGGGGGAAAGUCUCUGGCUCUAAAAUAUUAAAAUUAAUAAAAUGUUAAUAUUUAUAAAGAAUCUGUACCAUUGAGUAACCAAGUAGUAGAUGAAGAAAAUUUUCUUUUUAUAGGAGUAUUCCAAGUAAUAAAUGAUGAGUGAUAAGACUAUCAACAUUUUGUAACCUCUGAUGAAUUGAGAGAUCAAGCCAUUGAGCAUCAACUAUAUUAUCACAAAAAGUUGAGACAUGUGCCUUUAGAAUGGAAACAUGACUGUACUCUUGUAGAAAAAAAAUUGAACUGGAAUCUCAUCAGAUAUCUAUAUCUAACUACCAAUUUAUAAGAAAUAUGGAGGCCAGAGAAACGUUAAAAAAUACUAUAGAGAUGCAAAAAGCAAAAUCUAGACUAUGAAUAUUCUACAGGAUAAAGCAAAUUUCUUCAAAAAAAAUUACAAAGGAAAAAGAUUUGGAGAUUUCCCUGGUAACCCAUGGUAAAGAAUCUGCCUGCCAAUGCACUGGACCUGGUUCAGUCCCUACUCUGUAAGAUUCCACAUGCCUGCGAGCAACUAAGCCCAAUUGUCCUCCCAAACCCACACCCUGCAACUGCUGAAGCCCUGGCACCUAGAGCCUGUCCUCCCAAACCCACACCCUGCAACUGCUGAAGCCCUGGCACUUAGAACCUGUCCUCGCACCACAACUAGAGAGUAGCUCUCGCACAGCAGCAAAGAACCAAAGCAGC